GUUUCCGUAGGUGAACCUGCGGAAGGAUCAUUACCGAGUUGAUUCGAGCUCCGGCUCGACUCUCCCACCCUAUGUGUACCUACCUCUGUUGCUUUGGCGGGCCGCGGUCCUCCGCACCGGCCCCCGGUUCGGGGGCUGGCCAGCGCCCGCCAGAGGACCACAAAACUCCAGUCAGUGAACGUCGCAGUCUGAAAAACAAGUUAAUAAACUAAAACUUUCAACAACGGAUCUCUUGGUUCUGGCAUCGAUGAAGAACGCAGCGAAAUGCGAUAAGUAAUGUGAAUUGCAGAAUUCAGUGAAUCAUCGAAUCUUUGAACGCACAUUGCGCCCCUUGGUAUUCCGAGGGGCAUGCCUGUUCGAGCGUCAUUUCAACCCUCAAGCUCUGCUUGGUAUUGGGCUCCGUCCUCCACGGACGCGCCUCAAAGACCUCGGCGGUGGCGUCUUGCCUCAAGCGUAGUAGAAAACACCUCGCUUUGGAGCGCACGGCGUCGCCCGCCGGACGAACCUUUGAAUUUUUCUCAAGGUUGACCUCGGAUCAGGUAGGGAUACCCGCUGAACUUAA
This 562-nucleotide ribosomal RNA is filed under the name Neofusicoccum vitifusiforme. Its description in RNAcentral is "eukaryotic LSU rRNA". The stretch from base 213 to 366 matches the Rfam family "5.8S ribosomal RNA". Lineage: Eukaryota; Fungi; Ascomycota; Dothideomycetes; Botryosphaeriales; Botryosphaeriaceae. The record is from RNAcentral.